Molecule: ribosomal RNA, 620 nt
Filed under: Salmonella enterica
Lineage: Bacteria; Pseudomonadati; Pseudomonadota; Gammaproteobacteria; Enterobacterales; Enterobacteriaceae
Also listed under: 1 other name
Description: partial 23S ribosomal RNA
Rfam family: Bacterial large subunit ribosomal RNA
Source: RNAcentral
AAGCAGAGGGGGCUUAGUGGUGGGGUGACUGCGUACCUUUUGUAUAAUGGGUCAGCGACUUAUAUUCUGUAGCAAGGUUAACCGUAUAGGGGAGCCGGAGGGAAACCGAGUCUUAACCGGGCGUUAAGUUGCAGGGUAUAGACCCGAAACCCGGUGAUCUAGCCAUGGGCAGGUUGAAGGUUGGGUAACACUAACUGGAGGACCGAACCGACUAAUGUUGAAAAAUUAGCGGAUGACCUGUGGCUGGGGGUGAAAGGCCAAUCAAACCGGGAGAUAGCUGGUUCUCCCCGAAAGCUAUUUAGGUAGCGCCUCGUGAAUUCAUCUCCGGGGGUAGAGCACUGUUUCGGCUAGGGGGCCAUCCCGGCUUACCAACCCGAUGCAAACUGCGAAUACCGGAGAAUGUUAUCACGGGAGACACACGGCGGGUGCUAACGUCCGUCGUGAAGAGGGAAACAACCCAGACCGCCAGCUAAGGUCCCAAAGUCAUGGUUAAGUGGGAAACGAUGUGGGAAGGCCCAGACAGCCAGGAUGUUGGCUUAGAAGCAGCCAUCAUUUAAAGAAAGCGUAAUAGCUCACUGGUCGAGUCGGCCUGCGCGGAAGAUGUAACGGGGCUAAACCAU